Molecule: ribosomal RNA, 630 nt
Filed under: Triticum aestivum (bread wheat)
Lineage: Eukaryota; Viridiplantae; Streptophyta; Magnoliopsida; Poales; Poaceae
Description: partial small subunit ribosomal RNA
Source: RNAcentral
AUGGCGAUGUCCAAUCACGCCGCCGCCGCCGCCGGCGGCCCAUUCGCGGUGCUCGUGUGGUGCUACGUGAAGCGGUCCCUGCAGUUCCGCCGCUGCGGCCAGCCCCCGCUCGUGACGGACCAGCCGUACCUCGGGCGUUACGGCAGCUACGGCAACAGGUUCAUCGUCACAGACCUCUCCACGCUCCAGAGCGACGGCGCCUGCCGCCGGGCGCUGCGCAGGAUGCUGGCGGAACUGCCGCAGCUCCGGGCGCUCCGCCUCACCCAGGACGAGUGGGACGACGUCGUAACCGCUAACGUGGUGCCACAGAUCGUCCGCGUGGCGUGCGGCAACGGCGCCACCCGCGGCUUCACCUUCCGCUUCGAGAUGGAGGUGGACCGGCAGUUCAUAUACGACGAGCGGGCCCUCCUGAUGGCGUGCAAGGAGAGGGAGCUCGGCGGCGGCGGCAGGCCGGACAAGUGCCCGAUCUGCUUGGUGGGCCUGGAGGGAGAGCCCGCCGUGCAGCCACCGAGGUGCCCGCACACGUUCCACCGCAGGUGCAUUUUAAUGUGGUUCUGCAAGGCGACAACGUGCCCAAUUUGCCGCUGUGACGUGAGGUUCUGUGCCCUGCCGGAGUUUCUUGCUCUGUAG